Molecule: ribosomal RNA, 531 nt
Filed under: uncultured bacterium
Lineage: Bacteria
Description: bacterial SSU rRNA
Rfam family: Bacterial small subunit ribosomal RNA
Source: RNAcentral
CCUUGACAUACUAAGAACUUUCCAGAGAUGGAUUGGUGCCUUCGGGAACUUAGAUACAGGUGCUGCAUGGCUGUCGUCAGCUCGUGUCGUGAGAUGUUGGGUUAAGUCCCGNAACGAGCACAACCCUUUUCCUUAUUUGCCAGCGGGUCAUGCCGGGAACUUUAAGGAUACUGCCAGUGACAAACUGGAGGAAGGCGGGGACGACGUCAAGUCAUCAUGGCCCUUACGGCCAGGGCUACACACGUGCUACAAUGGUCGGUACAAAGGGUUGCUACCUCGCGAGAGGAUGCUAAUCUCAAAAAGCCGAUCGUAGUCCGGAUCGCAGUCUGCAACUCGACUGCGUGAAGUCGGAAUCGCUAGUAAUCGCGGAUCAGAAUGCCGCGGUGAAUACGUUCCCGGGCCUUGUACACACCGCCCGUCACACCAUAGGAGUUUGUUGCACCAGAAGUAGGUAGUCUAACCGCAAGGAGGACGCUUACCACGGUGUGGCCGAUGACUGGGGUGAAGUCGUAACAAGGUAAGCGUAGAUGA